Molecule: unclassified non-coding RNA, 328 nt
Filed under: uncultured soil eukaryote
Lineage: Eukaryota
Description: sequence contains 5.8S rRNA gene, ITS2, 28S rRNA gene
Rfam family: 5.8S ribosomal RNA (bases 1-52)
Source: RNAcentral
AACGCACAUUGCGCCCUCUGGUAUUCCGGAGGGCAUGCCUGUUUGAGAAUCAUUAAUCACCAAAUCCUUUCUGAUGUUGUUUUCUACCGUCUUUGGUGGCAAACCCCAGGGAAAGGGAGUUGAGGUCUCCACAAAAAGACCUCCAAAUUCAUGUCACACCGGCCGCCCAGAACAACUGCGCGUACUAGUUAAAUGAAAUAUUUUUUUCCUUGUUUACGUGUUUUUUGUUUUUGGGGGUUCCCGAAAGGAGGACUUUGCGCUUGCGUGAAAACAAACAAACAACCCAAACUGUGAUCUCAAAUCAGGUAGGAGAACCCGCUGAACUUAA